This 253-nucleotide ribosomal RNA is filed under the name uncultured bacterium. RNAcentral describes it as "partial 16S ribosomal RNA". It matches the Rfam family "Bacterial small subunit ribosomal RNA", at positions 524 to 776 of the family's 1533-position model. The record is from RNAcentral.
UACGUAGGGUGCAAGCGUUAAUCGGAAUUACUGGGCGUAAAGCGUGCGCAGGCGGUUUGAUAAGCCAGAUGUGAAAUCCCCGGGCUUAACCUGGGAACUGCAUUUGGAACUGUCAGACUAGAGUAUAGCAGAGGGGGGUAGAAUUCCACGUGUAGCAGUGAAAUGCGUAGAGAUGUGGAGGAAUACCAAUGGCGAAGGCAGCCCCCUGGGUUAAUACUGACGCUCAUGCACGAAAGCGUGGGGAGCAAACAGG